Molecule: ribosomal RNA, 412 nt
Filed under: uncultured soil bacterium
Lineage: Bacteria
Description: bacterial SSU rRNA
Rfam family: Bacterial small subunit ribosomal RNA
Source: RNAcentral
AGAUUGAACGCUGGCGGCGUGCCUUACACAUGCAAGUCGAACGCGAAAGGGGGGGCAACCCCCGAGUAGAGUGGCGAACGGGUGAGUAAUACAUCGGAACGUGUCCAGUAGCGGGGGAUAACCUCUCGAAAGAGAAGCUAAUACCGCAUACGACCUACGGGUGAAAGAGGGGGGAUCGCAAGACCUCUCACUAUUGGAGCGGCCGAUGUCGGAUUAGCUAGUUGGCGGGGUAACGGCCACCAAGGCUACGAUCCGUAGCUGGUCUGAGAGGACGACCAGCCACACUGGAACUGAGACACGGUCCAGACUCCUACGGGAGGCAGCCAGGUGGGGAAUUUUGGACAAGUGGGCGCAAGCCUGGAUCCGAGCCAUGGCCGCGGUCGAGUAGAAGAAGGCCGUUCGGGUUAGUAAA